CCUACGGGGGGCACCAGUGGGGAAUAUUGCACAAUGGGGGAAACCCUGAUGCAGCCAUGCCGCAUGUGUGAAGAAGGCCCUCGGGUUGUAAAGCACUUUCAGCGAGGAGGAAAGGUCAGUAGCUAAUAUCUGCUGGCUGUGACGUUACUCGCAGAAGAAGCACCGGCUAACUCCGUGCCAGCAGCCGCGGUAAUACGGAGGGUGCAAGCGUUAAUCGGAAUUACUGGGCGUAAAGCGCACGCAGGCGGUUGGAUAAGUUAGAUGUGAAAGCCCCGGGCUCAACCUGGGAAUUGCAUUUAAAACUGUCCAGCUAGAGUCUUGUAGAGGGGGGUAGAAUUCCAGGUGUAGCGGUGAAAUGCGUAGAGAUCUGGAGGAAUACCGGUGGCGAAGGCGGCCCCCUGGACAAAGACUGACGCUCAGGUGCGAAAGCGUGGGGAGCAAACAGGAUUAGAUACCCUUGUAGUC
This 465-nucleotide ribosomal RNA is filed under the name uncultured bacterium. RNAcentral describes it as "bacterial SSU rRNA". It matches the Rfam family "Bacterial small subunit ribosomal RNA", at positions 338 to 795 of the family's 1533-position model. The record is from RNAcentral.